CCAACAGGGAUUGCCUUAGUAACGGCGAGUGAAGCGGCAAAAGCUCAAAUUUGAAAUCUAACGCCUCUGGUGUUCGAGUUGUAAUUUGGAGAGGCAUCUUCCGGACUGGCCCAGCCUAUGUACCUUGGAACAGGACGUCAUAGAGGGUGAGAAUCCCGUUCUUGGCUGGAUGUUCACUCCCGUAUGUAGUGUCUUCUACGAGUCGAGUUGUUUGGGAAUGCAGCUCAAAAUGGGUGGUAAAUUUCAUCUAAAGCUAAAUAUUGGCGAGAGACCGAUAGCGCACAAGUAGAGUGAUCGAAAGAUGAAAAGCACUUUGAAAAUAGAGUCAAACAGUACGUGAAAUUGUUGAAAGGGAAGCGCUUGAGACCAGAGUCAGCCUUUGACAAACAAUUGUCCUUCUGGGCGGUGCACUAGUCAUUGGUUGGGCCAGCAUCGGUUGGGACGGUGGGAUAAAGGCUUGGGAAAUGUGACUCCUUUAUGGAGUGUUAUAGUCCCAGGUGCCAU
RNAcentral lists this ribosomal RNA (504 nucleotides) under Tuber maculatum. Its description in RNAcentral is "eukaryotic LSU rRNA". It matches the Rfam family "Eukaryotic large subunit ribosomal RNA", at positions 65 to 573 of the family's 3401-position model. Lineage: Eukaryota; Fungi; Ascomycota; Pezizomycetes; Pezizales; Tuberaceae. The record is from RNAcentral.